RNAcentral lists this transfer RNA (69 nucleotides) under Echmepteryx hageni. Its description in RNAcentral is "tRNA-Ala". The record is from RNAcentral. Lineage: Eukaryota; Metazoa; Arthropoda; Insecta; Psocodea; Lepidopsocidae.
AGGGAUGUAGUUAACUAUAACAUUUAAUUUGCAUUUAAAAAGUGCUAGUAUCCAACAUAGCCUUCCUUU